AAACAUCUAAUGAUUAAUCUUAAUUACUGGUGAUGUAAUACACAGGUAAAUAUGGAGACCAAAGUGAAAUCGACGAAGAGACUGUCGCCGAAAUUAUAUACCAAGAACUUCAAAUUGUGCGAUCCCGCCGAUCCGGGCUCAAUUUCACAAUAAACCGAAUCGAAAGCCAUGCAAUUAAACGGCUCAAACCCACAACUAUUUAUAUCAUUUU
Molecule: long non-coding RNA, 211 nt
Filed under: Olea europaea (common olive)
Lineage: Eukaryota; Viridiplantae; Streptophyta; Magnoliopsida; Lamiales; Oleaceae
Description: long non-coding RNA (OEUR_LNC010181)
Source: RNAcentral